GGGGAAUAUUGCACAAUGGGGGAAACCCUGAUGCAGCGACGCCGCGUGAGUGAAGAAGUAUUUCGGUAUGUAAAGCUCUAUCAGCAGGGAAGAAAAUGACGGUACCUGACUAAGAAGCCCCGGCUAACUACGUGCCAGCAGCCGCGGUAAUACGUAGGUGGCAAGCGUUGUCCGGAAUUAUUGGGCGUAAAGAGCAUGUAGGCGGCCUAUUAAGUCGGGCGUGAAAAUGCGGGGCUCAACCCCGUAUGGCGCCCGAUACUGGUGGGCUUGAGUGCAGGAGAGGAAAGGGGAAUUCCUAGUGUAGCGGUGAAAUGCGUAGAUAUUAGGAAGAACACCAGUGGCGAAGGCGGUCUACUGGGCACCAACUGACGCUGAGGCUCGAAAGCAUGGGUAGCAAACAGGAUUAGAUACCCUGGUAGUCCAUGCCGUAAACGAUGAUUACUAGGUGUUGGGGGAUUGACCCCCUCAGUGCCGCAGUUAACACAAUAAGUAAUCCACCUGGGGAGUACGACCGCAAGGUUGAAACUCAAAGGAAUUGACGGGGGCCCGCACAAGCAGUGGAGUAUGUGGUUUAAUUCGAAGCAACGCGAAGAACCUUACCAGGUCUUGACAUCCGAUGACCGGCCCGUAACGGGGCCUUCUCUUCGGAGCAUUGGAGACAGGUGGUGCAUGGUUGUCGUCAGCUCGUGUCGUGAGAUGUUGGGUUAAGUCCCGCAACGAGCGCAACCCUUAUCCUCAGUAGCCAGCAGGUAAAGCUGGGCACUCUGUGGAGACUGCCAGGGAUAACCUGGAGGAAGGUGGGGAUGACGUCAAAUCAUCAUGCCCCUUAUGAUCUGGGCUACACACGUGCUACAAUGGCGUAAACAAAGGGAGGCAAAGCCGCGAGGUGGAGCAAAUCCCAAAAAUAACGUCUCAGUUCGGACUGCAGUCUGCAACUCGACUGCACGAAGCUGGAAUCGCUAGUAAUCGCGAAUCAGAAUGUCGCGGUGAAUACGUUCCCG
This 1001-nucleotide ribosomal RNA is filed under the name uncultured bacterium. RNAcentral's name for it is "bacterial SSU rRNA". It matches the Rfam family "Bacterial small subunit ribosomal RNA", at positions 356 to 1376 of the family's 1533-position model. The record is from RNAcentral.